Molecule: ribosomal RNA, 2572 nt
Filed under: Escherichia coli
Lineage: Bacteria; Pseudomonadati; Pseudomonadota; Gammaproteobacteria; Enterobacterales; Enterobacteriaceae
Description: partial 23S ribosomal RNA
Rfam family: Bacterial large subunit ribosomal RNA
Source: RNAcentral
GGUUAAGCGACUAAGCGUACACGGUGGAUGCCCUGGCAGUCAGAGGCGAUGAAGGACGUGCUAAUCUGCGAUAAGCGUCGGUAAGGUGAUAUGAACCGUUAUAACCGGCGAUUUCCGAAUGGGGAAACCCAGUGUGUUUCGACACACUAUCAUUAACUGAAUCCAUAGGUUAAUGAGGCGAACCGGGGGAACUGAAACAUCUAAGUACCCCGAGGAAAAGAAAUCAACCGAGAUUCCCCCAGUAGCGGCGAGCGAACGGGGAGCAGCCCAGAGCCUGAAUCAGUGUGUGUGUUAGUGGAAGCGUCUGGAAAGGCGCGCGAUACAGGGUGACAGCCCCGUACACAAAAAUGCACAUGCUGUGAGCUCGAUGAGUAGGGCGGGACACGUGGUAUCCUGUCUGAAUAUGGGGGGACCAUCCUCCAAGGCUAAAUACUCCUGACUGACCGAUAGUGAACCAGUACCGUGAGGGAAAGGCGAAAAGAACCCCGGCGAGGGGAGUGAAAAAGAACCUGAAACCGUGUACGUACAAGCAGUGGGAGCACGCUUAGGCGUGUGACUGCGUACCUUUUGUAUAAUGGGUCAGCGACUUAUAUUCUGUAGCAAGGUUAACCGAAUAGGGGAGCCGAAGGGAAACCGAGUCUUAACUGGGCGUUAAGUUGCAGGGUAUAGACCCGAAACCCGGUGAUCUAGCCAUGGGCAGGUUGAAGGUUGGGUAACACUAACUGGAGGACCGAACCGACUAAUGUUGAAAAAUUAGCGGAUGACUUGUGGCUGGGGGUGAAAGGCCAAUCAAACCGGGAGAUAGCUGGUUCUCCCCGAAAGCUAUUUAGGUAGCGCCUCGUGAAUUCAUCUCCGGGGGUAGAGCACUGUUUCGGCAAGGGGGUCAUCCCGACUUACCAACCCGAUGCAAACUGCGAAUACCGGAGAAUGUUAUCACGGGAGACACACGGCGGGUGCUAACGUCCGUCGUGAAGAGGGAAACAACCCAGACCGCCAGCUAAGGUCCCAAAGUCAUGGUUAAGUGGGAAACGAUGUGGGAAGGCCCAGACAGCCAGGAUGUUGGCUUAGAAGCAGCCAUCAUUUAAAGAAAGCGUAAUAGCUCACUGGUCGAGUCGGCCUGCGCGGAAGAUGUAACGGGGCUAAACCAUGCACCGAAGCUGCGGCAGCGACGCUUAUGCGUUGUUGGGUAGGGGAGCGUUCUGUAAGCCUGCGNNNNNNNNNNNNNNNNNNNNNNNNNNNNNNNNNNNNNNNNNNNNNNNNNNNNNNNNNNNNNNNNNNNNNNNNNNNNNNNNNNNNNNNNNNNNNNNNGUACUACGGUGCUGAAGCAACAAAUGCCCUGCUUCCAGGAAAAGCCUCUAAGCAUCAGGUAACAUCAAAUCGUACCCCAAACCGACACAGGUGGUCAGGUAGAGAAUACCAAGGCGCUUGAGAGAACUCGGGUGAAGGAACUAGGCAAAAUGGUGCCGUAACUUCGGGAGAAGGCACGCUGAUAUGUAGGUGAAGCGACUUGCUCGUGGAGCUGAAAUCAGUCGAAGAUACCAGCUGGCUGCAACUGUUUAUUAAAAACACAGCACUGUGCAAACACGAAAGUGGACGUAUACGGUGUGACGCCUGCCCGGUGCCGGAAGGUUAAUUGAUGGGGUUAGCGCAAGCGAAGCUCUUGAUCGAAGCCCCGGUAAACGGCGGCCGUAACUAUAACGGUCCUAAGGUAGCGAAAUUCCUUGUCGGGUAAGUUCCGACCUGCACGAAUGGCGUAAUGAUGGCCAGGCUGUCUCCACCCGAGACUCAGUGAAAUUGAACUCGCUGUGAAGAUGCAGUGUACCCGCGGCAAGACGGAAAGACCCCGUGAACCUUUACUAUAGCUUGACACUGAACAUUGAGCCUUGAUGUGUAGGAUAGGUGGGAGGCUUUGAAGUGUGGACGCCAGUCUGCAUGGAGCCGACCUUGAAAUACCACCCUUUAAUGUUUGAUGUUCUAACGUUGACCCGUAAUCCGGGUUGCGGACAGUGUCUGGUGGGUAGUUUGACUGGGGCGGUCUCCUCCUAAAGAGUAACGGAGGAGCACGAAGGUUGGCUAAUCCUGGUCGGACAUCAGGAGGUUAGUGCAAUGGCAUAAGCCAGCUUGACUGCGAGCGUGACGGCGCGAGCAGGUGCGAAAGCAGGUCAUAGUGAUCCGGUGGUUCUGAAUGGAAGGGCCAUCGCUCAACGGAUAAAAGGUACUCCGGGGAUAACAGGCUGAUACCGCCCAAGAGUUCAUAUCGACGGCGGUGUUUGGCACCUCGAUGUCGGCUCAUCACAUCCUGGGGCUGAAGUAGGUCCCAAGGGUAUGGCUGUUCGCCAUUUAAAGUGGUACGCGAGCUGGGUUUAGAACGUCGUGAGACAGUUCGGUCCCUAUCUGCCGUGGGCGCUGGAGAACUGAGGGGGGCUGCUCCUAGUACGAGAGGACCGGAGUGGACGCAUCACUGGUGUUCGGGUUGUCAUGCCAAUGGCACUGCCCGGUAGCUAAAUGCGGAAGAGAUAAGUGCUGAAAGCAUCUAAGCACGAAACUUGCCCCGAGAUGAGUUCUCCCUGAC